Molecule: ribosomal RNA, 510 nt
Filed under: uncultured bacterium
Lineage: Bacteria
Description: SSU rRNA
Rfam family: Bacterial small subunit ribosomal RNA
Source: RNAcentral
AGGACGAACGCUGGCGGCGUGCCUCAUACAUGCAAGUGGAGCGACGAACCAGGAUUUAUCCUGGGGCAAAGCCGCGAACGGGUGAGUAACACGUGGGUCACCUGCCCCGAUGAUUGGGACAACCCGAGGAAACUCGGGCUAAUACCAAAUGUGGUCUUGGUCGUGAUGGCCAAGAAAAAAGGAAGCUUCGGCCUCCGCAUCGGGAUGGGCCCGCGGCCCAUUAGCUAGUUGGUGGGGUAAUGGCCUACCAAGGCGACGAUGGGUAGCUGGUCUGAGAGGACGAUCAGCCACACUGGGACUGAGACACGGUCCAGACACCUACGGGUGGCAGCAGUCGAGAAUUUUUCUCAAUGGGGGAAACCCUGAAGGAGCGACGCCGCGUGGAGGAUGAAGGUCUUCGGAUCGUAAACUCCUGUCAUGAGGGAACAAACCUACAUGUUUAACUGAUGUGUAGCUGAUAGUACCUCAAGAGGAAGGGACGGCUAACUCUGUCGCCAGCAGCCGCGGUAA